UUCUACAGCCACACCACCUUGAAUGCACCUAAUCUCGUCUGAUCUUGGAAAAUAAGCUGGGUCAGGCCUGGUUAGUACUUGGAUGAGAGACCACCUGGGAGCACUGGGUGCUGUUGGCU
RNAcentral lists this ribosomal RNA (119 nucleotides) under Carlito syrichta (Philippine tarsier). Lineage: Eukaryota; Metazoa; Chordata; Mammalia; Primates; Tarsiidae. The record is from RNAcentral.